RNAcentral lists this ribosomal RNA (492 nucleotides) under uncultured bacterium. RNAcentral describes it as "partial 16S ribosomal RNA". It matches the Rfam family "Bacterial small subunit ribosomal RNA", at positions 29 to 507 of the family's 1533-position model. The record is from RNAcentral.
AGUGAACGCUGGCGGUAGGCCUAACACAUGCAAGUCGAACGGCAGCACAGUAAGAGCUUGCUCUUACGGGUGGCGAGUGGCGGACGGGUGAGGAAUACAUCGGAAUCUACUUUUUCGUGGGGGAUAACGUAGGGAAACUUACGCUAAUACCGCAUACGACCUACGGGUGAAAGCAGGGGAUCUUCGGACCUUGCGCGAUUGAAUGAGCCGAUGUCGGAUUAGCUAGUUGGCGGGGUAAAGGCCCACCAAGGCGACGAUCCGUAGCUGGUCUGAGAGGUUGAUCAGCCACACUGGAACUGAGACACGGUCCAGACUCCUACGGGAGGCAGCAGUGGGGAAUAUUGGACAAUGGGCGCAAGCCUGAUCCAGCCAUACCGCGUGGGUGAAGAGGGCCUUCGGGUUGUAAAGCCCUUUUGUUGGGAAAGAAAAGCAGCAGGUUAAUACCCCGCUGUUCUGACGGUACCCAAAGAAUAAGCACCGGCUAACUUCGUG